CGCGAAAGUCCCGCAAGGGAUCAGUAGAGUGGCAAACGGGUGCUGUAACGCGUGGGUGACCUGCCUUCGAGCGGGGGAUACCGUUCCGAAAGGGACGCUAAUACCGCAUGACAUCCUGCCUUUGAACAGGCGGAGAUCAAAGCCGGGGAUCGCAAGACCUGGCACUCGAAGAGGGGCCCGCGUCCGAUUAGCUAGUUGGUGAGGUAACGGCUCACCAAGGCAACGAUCGGUAGCCGGCCUGAGAGGGCGGACGGCCACACUGGGACUGAGACACGGCCCAGACUCCUACGGGAGGCAGCAGUGGGGAAUUGUUCGCAAUGGGCGCAAGCCUGACGACGCAACGCCGCGUGGAGGAUGAAGAUCUUCGGGUCGUAAACUCCUUUCGAUCGAGACGAACGGCCUCCGGGUUAAUACGCCGGAGGAGUGACGGUACCGAGAGAAGAAGCCCCGGCUAACUCCGUGCCAGCAGCCGCGGUAAUACGGGGGGGGCAAGCGUUGUUCGGAAUUACUGGGCGUAAAGGGCUCGUAGGCGGCCAACUAAGUCAGACGUGAAAUCCCUCGGCUUAACCGGGGAACUGCGUCUGAUACUGGAUGGCUUGAGUUUGGGAGAGGGAUGCGGAAUUCCAGGUGUAGCGGUGAAAUGCGUAGAUAUCUGGAGGAACACCGGUGGCGAAGGCGGCAUCCUGGACCAACACUGACGCUGAGUGAGCGAAAGCCAGGGGAGCAAACGGGAUUAGAUACCCCGGUAGUCCUGGCCCUAAACGAUGAAUGCUUGGUGUGGCGGGUAUCGAUCCCUGCCGUGCCGAAGCUAACGCAUUAAGC
Molecule: ribosomal RNA, 822 nt
Filed under: uncultured Pseudomonadota bacterium
Lineage: Bacteria; Pseudomonadati; Pseudomonadota
Description: bacterial SSU rRNA
Rfam family: Bacterial small subunit ribosomal RNA
Source: RNAcentral